RNAcentral lists this ribosomal RNA (497 nucleotides) under uncultured bacterium. RNAcentral's name for it is "partial 16S ribosomal RNA". It matches the Rfam family "Bacterial small subunit ribosomal RNA", at positions 28 to 507 of the family's 1533-position model. The record is from RNAcentral.
GAUGAACGCUGGCGGCGUGCCUAAUACAUGCAAGUCGAGCGAACAGACGAGGAGCUUGCUCCUCUGACGUUAGCGGCGGACGGGUGAGUAACACGUGGAUAACCUACCUAUAAGACUGGGAUAACUUCGGGAAACCGGAGCUAAUACCGGAUAAUAUAUUGAACCGCAUGGUUCAAUAGUGAAAGACGGUUUUGCUGUCACUUAUAGAUGGAUCCGCGCCGCAUUAGCUAGUUGGUAAGGUAACGGCUUACCAAGGCAACGAUGCGUAGCCGACCUGAGAGGGUGAUCGGCCACACUGGAACUGAGACACGGUCCAGACUCCUACGGGAGGCAGCAGUAGGGAAUCUUCCGCAAUGGGCGAAAGCCUGACUGAGCAACGCCGCGUGAGUGAUGAAGGUCUUCGGAUCGUAAAACUCUGUUAGUAGGGAAGAACAAAUGUGUAAGUAACUAUGCACGUCUUGACGGUACCUAAUCAGAAAGCCGCGGCUAACUACGUG